AGUGAACGCUGGCGGUAGGCCUAACACAUGCAAGUCGAACGGCAGCACAGGAGAGCUUGCUCUCUAGGUGGCGAGUGGCGGACGGGUGAGGAAUACAUCGGAAUCUGCCCAGUCGUGGGGGAUAACGUAGGGAAACUUACGCUAAUACCGCAUACGACCUUCGGGUGAAAGAGGGGGAUCGCAAGACCUCUCGCGAUUGGAUGAGCCGAUGUCGGAUUAGCUAGUUAGCGGGGUAAUGGCCCACCAAGGCGACGAUCCGUAGCUGGUCUGAGAGGAUAAUCAGCCACACUGGAACUGAGACACGGUCCAGACUCCUACGGGAGGCAGCAGUGGGGAAUAUUGGACAAUGGGCGCAAGCCUGAUCCAGCCAUACCGCGUGGGUGAAGAAGGCCUUCGGGUUGUAAAGCCCUUUUGUUGGGAAAGAAAUCUUUCAGGCUAAUACCCUGGGAGGAUGACGGUACCCAAAGAAUAAGCACCGGCUAACUUCGUG
This 490-nucleotide ribosomal RNA is filed under the name uncultured bacterium. Its description in RNAcentral is "partial 16S ribosomal RNA". It matches the Rfam family "Bacterial small subunit ribosomal RNA", at positions 29 to 507 of the family's 1533-position model. The record is from RNAcentral.